This 103-nucleotide small nuclear RNA is filed under the name Myotis davidii. The record is from RNAcentral. Lineage: Eukaryota; Metazoa; Chordata; Mammalia; Chiroptera; Vespertilionidae.
GUGCUCGCUUUGGCAGCACAUAGACUAAAAUUGGAGUGACACAGAGAUUAGCAUGGCCCUGCGCAAGGACGACACACAAAUUCAUGAAGCGUUCCAUAUUUUU